Molecule: small nuclear RNA, 107 nt
Organism: Perognathus longimembris pacificus (Pacific pocket mouse)
Lineage: Eukaryota; Metazoa; Chordata; Mammalia; Rodentia; Heteromyidae
Source: RefSeq, a predicted model, not a curated record
GUGCUUGCUUCAGCAGCACAUAUACUAAAAUUGAAAGAAUACUGAGAAGAUUAGCAUGGCCCCUGUGCAAGGAAAAAAAUGAUAUAUGAUAGAACAUAAUUUUAAUU